Molecule: ribosomal RNA, 254 nt
Filed under: uncultured bacterium
Lineage: Bacteria
Description: partial 16S ribosomal RNA
Rfam family: Bacterial small subunit ribosomal RNA
Source: RNAcentral
UACGGGGGGGGGCAAGCGUUGUUCGGAAUUACUGGGCGUAAAGGGUGCGUAGGUGGUUGGGUAAGUUUGAUGUGAAAGCUCAGGGCUUAACCCUGAAAUGGCAUUGAAUACUACUUAACUGGAGGUUUGGAGGGGGGACUGGAAUUCUUGGUGUAGCAGUGAAAUGCGUAGAUAUCAAGAGGAACACCAGUGGCGAAGGCGAGUCCCUGGACAACACCUGACACUGAGGCACGAAAGCUAGGGGAGCAAACAGG